RNAcentral lists this long non-coding RNA (776 nucleotides) under Pan troglodytes (chimpanzee). RNAcentral's name for it is "long non-coding RNA NONPTRT004560". Lineage: Eukaryota; Metazoa; Chordata; Mammalia; Primates; Hominidae. The record is from RNAcentral.
CUGCUGAUUAACAGGUUUUAGAUUCAGGAAGACUGAAAGAAUAUGAUGAGCCGUAUGUUUUGCUGCAAAAUAAAGAGAGCCUAUUUUACAAGAUGGUGCAACAACUGGGCAAGGCAGAAGCCGCUGCCCUCACUGAAACAGCAAAACAGGUAUACUUCAAAAGAAAUUAUCCACAUAUUGGUCACACUGACCACAUGGUUACAAACACCUCCAAUGGACAGCCCUCGACCUUAACUAUUUUCGAGACAGCACUGUGAAUCCAACCAAAAUGUCAAGUCCGUUCCGAAGGCAUUUUCCACUAGUUUUUGGACUAUGUAAACCACUUUGUACUUUUUUUUUACUUUGGCAACAAAUAUUUAUACAUACAAGAUGCUAGUUCAUUUGAAUGUUUCUCCCAACUUAUCCAAGGAUCUCCAGCUCUAACAAAAUGGUUUAUUUUUAUUUAAAUGUCAAUAGUUGUUUUUUAAAAUCCAAAUCAGAGGUGCAGGCCACCAGUUAAAUGCUGUCUAUCAGGUUUUGUGCCUUAAGAGACUACAGAGUCAAAGCUCAUUUUUAAAGGAGUAGGACAAAGUUGUCACAGGUUUUUGUUGUUGUUUUUACUGCCCCCAAAAUUACAUGUUUAUUUCCAUUUAUAUCAGGGAUUCUAUUUACUUGAAGACUGUGAAGUUGCCAUUUUGUCUCAUUGUUUUCUUUGACAUAACUAGGAUCCAUUAUUUCCCCUGAAGGCUUCUUGUUAGAAAAUAGUACAGUUACAACCAAUAGGAACAACAAAAAGA